RNA transcript from Quercus robur (English oak), 1281 nucleotides. It is a transcript of the gene named splicing factor U2af large subunit A-like, with no coding region annotated. The record is from RefSeq and is a predicted model, not a curated record. NCBI's taxonomy places the organism in Eukaryota, Viridiplantae, Streptophyta, Magnoliopsida, Fagales, Fagaceae. The transcript is spliced from 2 exons.
UGAUCUAAUUGCUGAUUAUUUUUUGUAGUCUUUGUUUUAAAUUUAGUCAAUUUCACCUGUUAAGGUUCUUUGCAUGUAUAUUGAUUUUCUGUGUUAUAUCUUUCUGUUUUACAGCUUUUUUGUAGUCCCACAUUCUGCUUUAAAGAAUCAGGCCUAAUUUACACAAACAGAAGCCUCCAUAACCUUCUAUCUUUGUUCCCCUAAAAAUGUUCCUUUGUCCAUUUUGAUAGAUUUUAUGCAUUUUGAAGUUUUAAUGUGAUUUGCAGGUACUCUGGUAAAAAUCAUCAUCCCAUGCCCACAACUUAAUGAUGAACCAUCACCUGGAGUCGGGAAGGUUGAAGUUUUGUUUUGUCAAUGCUGAUGAGCUUCACAAUGCUCUGUUUGAUGUUAGUUGUAUUUUAUCUUCUCCCUGUCAAUACCUUUGCUUAUUUCUUCUCGUUACUUUUGUGCCUCCAGCUUUGCCAGGCAUUGUACGUCAACAUCUUGUUAUGUCAUUUUUGCAGCAUUAACAAGGUCUGUUUAGCAUGGCUGGGGAAAGAAGCUACUGUUCACUCUGGUACAAGGCAGCACUCUGUUUACAUCCUACAAUUUGCAUAAGUAUCAUAGCAGUUAGUUUAGGAAACCGGUUUGAGGUAGUUUUGCUAUCCUUUGAAUAAUGGCAGUGUGUGGCUGUUGGAUGGAUGAUUGGAUAUGAUCGUGGGUGUUUGUUCGCACACACACCUAAGCAACUUGGAGGCUUGCUUGAGGUUGAUAGGACAUAUGUUGUGAGAAAGGGCUAAUGGAUCCUGGUUCAACAUGAAUAAAUUUUGGAUUACAAUUUAUUCCACACUUUACCACAAUAAUCCUAUAUGGCUAUCUGUAAGUGGUGGACAAAAAAAUGUUUGUGAAAACUAUAGGUAGCCUGUAGCCACUUAAGUCUACCACAUAGGAUAGUUGUGGGAAAUAGUGUGGUAAAAAUUUUGAUCCUAGAGUAACUCGUUCAGUGUAGGUUUGACAUGUUGCUAAGUUCCCCGCCAUAUGGCUUGCCACCCAUGUUAUUGAGUGGUCUUAACUCAGUGGCUGAUGGCUUGGGCGACUUAAUGGGUUUUGCACUUUGUGGCCAAUGGUUAGGAAAAUACUAAAUGUAGUACUAUUACCUAAAGCUCACAAAUUAAUGUGUCCAUAAUUGUGAUUGAUAUUAACUUUAAUUACUGGAUUAAUGUAUGUUUGAAUUGUUUUUUAAUGCUUCACGGCACAUCAGUUUGUAAACUUUAUAUAAUAAAAUUUGUAGCAUCUCUAACA